This 207-nucleotide ribosomal RNA is filed under the name uncultured bacterium. Its description in RNAcentral is "partial 16S ribosomal RNA". It matches the Rfam family "Bacterial small subunit ribosomal RNA", at positions 568 to 774 of the family's 1533-position model. The record is from RNAcentral.
CACGCAGGUGGUCGUGUGCGUGGGGUGUGAAAGCUCUCGGCUUAACUGAGAGAGGCCACCUCAUACGGCACGGCUCGAGCCCUGCAGAGGUCCACGGAAUUGCCGGUGUAGUGGUGAAAUGCGUAGAGAUCGGCAGGAACACCCAGGGGGAAACCAGUGGACUGGGCAGGCGCUGACACUGAGGUGCGAAAGCGUGGGGAGCGAACC